This 774-nucleotide ribosomal RNA is filed under the name uncultured Neocallimastigales. RNAcentral's name for it is "partial large subunit ribosomal RNA". It matches the Rfam family "Eukaryotic large subunit ribosomal RNA", at positions 26 to 644 of the family's 3401-position model. The record is from RNAcentral. Lineage: Eukaryota; Fungi; Neocallimastigomycota; Neocallimastigomycetes; Neocallimastigales.
CGCAUCUGUGCAUGCAGCAUAUCAAUAAGCGGAGGAAAAGAAACUAACAAGGAUUCCCUAGUAACGGCGAGUGAAGCGGGAAGAGCUCAAAUUUGAAAUCUUCAAGGUUUUACCUUGACGAAUUGUAGUUUAAAGAAGUGUCUUCUGCUGAAGUUUUGGUAAAAGUUCUUUGGAAUAGGACAUCAUAGAGGGUGAGAAUCCCGUAUUUGACCAUUACUUUUCAGCUUUGUGAUACACUUUCAAAGAGUCGGAUUGUUUGGGAAUGCAGUCCAAAAUGGGUGGUAAAUUUCAUCUAAAGCUAAAUAUUGGCGAGAGACCGAUAGCGAACAAGUACCGUGAGGGAAAGAUGAAAAGAACUUUGAAAAGAGAGUUAAACAGUACGUGAAAUUGUCAAAAGGGAAGCGUUUGACACCAGUGUUGUUUUUCUGAAAAUCAAUUAAAGAACUGUUUAUGCUAGUUGUUUAGACUUUAUCAGCUAAUCUGCUUAGUUUUGAGCUUUUCUUUAAUGCACUUUUCAGUUAACAAGUCAACAUCAAUUUCUUUUGCUGUAAAAAAGCUUGAGGAAGGUGGCUUGAGAUUCGUCUUAAGUGUUUAUAGCCUCUUGCCUAUGCAGUCGGAGAGAUUGAGGUCUGCAGCGUAGAUCCUUCGGGGCUAAAUGCAUUUGUGCUAAGUUAUAGCAUUUUAUAGACAACUUGUUGACUAUGAUUUGUCUUGUAGCUUACUCGCUUAUGUUAUUUUACCUACGCUUAGGAUGUUGAUAGUCACAGCGUGUAC